Apis mellifera (honey bee) is the source of this 1635-nucleotide long non-coding RNA. RefSeq lists it as uncharacterized. The record is from RefSeq and is a predicted model, not a curated record. The transcript is spliced from 2 exons. Lineage: Eukaryota; Metazoa; Arthropoda; Insecta; Hymenoptera; Apidae.
UUAAUUAUUUCUUUUAAAUCAAUUUUUUCCCCUACUUGUAAUUCGUAUCUAUUAUCUCUAUUAUAAGAUAAAAUUUUAUUUCCAUAAUAUUAAAAAAAAAAAAAAAAUCAAAAUAUCGUUCCAUUUCGGAUUUUACGAUUUCAUUUCGUAUGCCGAUGUCUCGUGGAAAUAGCCUUUAUAUCGUUCGAUCGCUCGUUGUAACGAUCCUUUUAAGAAAAUGGCUCUCGGCUCAAGUAUCCAUAAAACGAUCCGAUAUGUAUUGUAUACGAGAGAUAUACAGUGGUAGUGGACAGUUUCGCAAUCAAACAUCUUCGAGGUUAUAUUUCAACUGAAUUUCUAGAUAUUUUCUCGUUUGUCUUUUAAUAACGCUUAUGGCAUAAAAUUAUAAACGUAGAAAUAUAAAUAUGUAUCAACAAUUGUGUUUCGUUUCUUUUUUCAAAGAAACGAUAAUAAGAUUAAUAACGAGAAGAUUGAACGACUGAGAAACAUAACCUAACUUUCAUAAAAUGUAAUAAGAACGUGAAACGUGUAAAUGUGAAAAAGGUGAUGAAAUGGUAAUAAGAAGAGCAAACAUAACCUAACUUUUAAAAUUGAAAUAAAGAAACUUGGUGGCCAGGAUCGACAAUGAUCCGGGGAUAAAUUAGGAAAAAUGGAAUCGCAACCCCCGUUGAAAGUUGAACUCCGUUGGCCAACGUUUAAUCGUCGUGACAUUUCACAGCAAUUUAACUACGUGCAAAUGACUCUGUUGAGAAAGGAGAGAAAUGGAAGAGAAGAGGGAAGAAACGAAAAGAAAAGAAAUGAAAUGGAUGCACAACUCAAACACGAAAUACCAGGAGAGCACGAUGAUUUUGACGAGAGAAGGUUUUGUAAUUGACAUACCAAUUAAUUUAAUUGGACCGUUACUAUGCUUUUUUUUUUACUCCUCCUCCCCCUCUCCCUUCUUUUUUUAUUUUACACUAUAUGCACGCCUUUUGUGCGUGGACCGACUGAAAUCGCCGAUUACGUUGGCAGAACUCGUCGUUGAUAAUGCACUGUGAACAUAUGAACGUAUUUUUAGUCGAAAAGUUUUGUAUUUGGCGAGGAGAAGAGAGAGAACGAUGGUGAAAAAUUAUUCGUGGAGAGUGAAUUAAUCAGGAUUAUCGAAAAUAUUGGUAAUUUAUUUAUUUUUCAUCAUUCGAAUCUUUCCUUCAAAAUUAAUUUAGCUUCAAAAUUUAUUUUAGAAUUAAUAUAGUGAAAGUAAUUGUGAACUAUGAAAUUUUGAUAAAAAUAUUUGAAAAAUAAAGAAAGAAUAUCUAAGAUCAUAAAUUUAACGAUAUACUUUUGCUAAAAAAAAAAAAAUUUGAAAAAGAUGCUACAGUCUUAUUAUUAAUUAAAAUCGAACAAUGAAUUCGAUAUGUUACCAAUUAUUCCGUUCCAAAUAUUUUUUAAUCCGAAAAUAAGAAUAUCCAUCGAGAUGAUAUCGAAUAAGGGAGGACGUUGAUUCGAUCCUCGAAAGUAAUCAGAAAAAUUUCAUUUGGUCAAAAUAACCGAGAAUUCGUGGAAACGGAUAGUUCCGCUUUAGCGUUGAAAGGGAUCCAACGAGAGAGAGAGAGAGAGAGAGAGAGAGAGAGAGAGAGAGAGAGAGAGAGAGAGAGA